UACGUAGGGGGCAAGCGUUGUCCGGAUUUACUGGGCGUAAAGAGCGUGUAGGCGGCCAAGCAGGUCCGUUGUGAAAACUGGAGGCUUAACCUCCAGACGUCGACGGAAACCGCGUGGCUAGAGUCCGGAAGAGGAGAGUGGAAUUCCUGGUGUAGCGGUGAAAUGCGCAGAUAUCAGGAAGAACACCAAUGGCGAAGGCAGGUCUCUGGGCAGCAACUGACGCUGAGGAGCGAAAGCAUGGGGAGCGAACAGG
Molecule: ribosomal RNA, 253 nt
Filed under: uncultured bacterium
Lineage: Bacteria
Description: partial 16S ribosomal RNA
Rfam family: Bacterial small subunit ribosomal RNA
Source: RNAcentral